UACGUAGGUGGCAAGCGUUAUCCGGAAUUAUUGGGCGUAAAGCGCGCGCAGGCGGUUUCUUAAGUCUGAUGUGAGAGCCCACGGCUCAACCGUGGAGGGUCAUUGGAAACUGGGGAACUUGAGUGCAGAAGAGAAAAGCGGAAUUCCACGUGUAGCGGUGAAAUGCGUAGAGAUGUGGAGGAACACCAGUGGCGAAGGCGGCUUUUUGGUCUGUAACUGACGCUGAGGCGCGAAAGCGUGGGGAGCAAACAGG
This 253-nucleotide ribosomal RNA is filed under the name uncultured bacterium. RNAcentral's name for it is "partial 16S ribosomal RNA". It matches the Rfam family "Bacterial small subunit ribosomal RNA", at positions 524 to 776 of the family's 1533-position model. The record is from RNAcentral.